AACAGCUAAAUUAAAAUGUAUUUUUGUUAUUCUGAAAACUUUGUAAAAAUUCGGAUAUAUGGUCAAAACAAAUAUUAUUAACAAAUUAUAUUUUAUAGAAUUUUUGGUUAUGGGAUGUCGAAUAGUAUAUUUGCAUAAAAAGUCCAGAGAUAUAGGCAGUGUUGAGUCGCGAUAUGAAAUAUUUUGGUGUAUCACUGUGAAAUUAUUUAAACAAAACCAACAUUACCAUUUUCUCAGUUUUUUAUGUCCAGUUUUUUACAACCCAAUGUCCAGCUUUUUGUGAAUCGGAAUCUGGCAACCCUAAUCACAGUUAAUGUUCAAUCGUUUGUUAAGAACAAAAUUACCAACUUCUGAAAAAUUGUUAUCCUCAAAAUAUAACAAUAAUUUACAAGAACAACUUAUAAAGAAAACUAAACAUAAUGAAAAAUAUUACAAUAUUUCACCCAGAAGAGGAAGCAAAUUUGAAAAGGCAGAUGACGAGUGUAGACAGUACCAAAGAAACAGCUGGUUUAAAAAAAAUGUCGCUCAGUAUCCAAUCAAACUUCAAUAAAAAAAGGCAGAUGUAACAUUAUAUUAAAGCUUUCUGUUAAAAGACUUAAUAAUGAACAUGUACAAGUAUCAUAAAAGAACAUAGUAAUAAUUAUAGAAUUAGUAAUAAGGAAUAAGAAAUGAAUUGUAAAGAAAUAAAGUCAGUGAAUAAAGAGAUUUCAGAAAAUAAA
Long non-coding RNA from Lucilia cuprina (Australian sheep blowfly), 719 nucleotides. RefSeq lists it as uncharacterized. The record is from RefSeq and is a predicted model, not a curated record. NCBI's taxonomy places the organism in Eukaryota, Metazoa, Arthropoda, Insecta, Diptera, Calliphoridae. The transcript is spliced from 2 exons.